RNAcentral lists this ribosomal RNA (510 nucleotides) under uncultured bacterium. RNAcentral's name for it is "partial 16S ribosomal RNA". It matches the Rfam family "Bacterial small subunit ribosomal RNA", at positions 28 to 507 of the family's 1533-position model. The record is from RNAcentral.
GACGAACGCUGGCGGCGUGCUUAACACAUGCAAGUCGAACGAAGAGCGAUGGAAGCUUGCUUCUAUCAAUCUUAGUGGCAACCGGGUGAGUAACGCGUAAUCAACCUGCCCUUCAGAGGGGGACAACAGUUGGAACCGACUGCUAAUACCGCAUACGAUCUAAUCUCGGCAUCGAGGAAAGAUGAAAGGUGGCCUCUAUUUAUAAGCUAUCACUGAAGGAGGGGAUUGCGUCGGAUUAGCUAGUUGGCGGGGUAACGGCCCACCAAGGCGAUGAUCAGUAGCCGGUCUGAGAGGAUGAACGGCCACAUUGGGACUGAGACACGGCCCAGACUCCUACGGGAGGCAGCAGUGGGGAAUCUUCCGCAAUGGACGAAAGUCUGACGGAGCAACGCCGCGUGAGUGAUGACGGCCUUCGGGUUGUAAAGCUCUGUUAAUCGGGACGAAAGGCCUUCUUGCGAACAGUUAGAAGGAUUGACGGUACCGGAAUAGAAAGCCACGGCUAACUACGUG